GUCGAGCGGUAGAGAGAAGCUUGCUUCUCUUGAGAGCGGCGGACGGGUGAGUAAUGCCUAGGAAUCUGCCUGGUAGUGGGGGAUAACGCUCGGAAACGGACGCUAAUACCGCAUACGUCCUACGGGAGAAAGCAGGGGACCUUCGGGCCUUGCGCUAUCAGAUGAGCCUAGGUCGGAUUAGCUAGUUGGUGAGGUAAUGGCUCACCAAGGCGACGAUCCGUAACUGGUCUGAGAGGAUGAUCAGUCACACUGGAACUGAGACACGGUCCAGACUCCUACGGGAGGCAGCAGUGGGGAAUAUUGGACAAUGGGCGAAAGCCUGAUCCAGCCAUGCCGCGUGUGUGAAGAAGGUCUUCGGAUUGUAAAGCACUUUAAGUUGGGAGGAAGGGCAGUAAAUUAAUACUUUGCUGUUUUGACGUUACCGACAGAAUAAGCACCGGCUAACUCUGUGCCAGCAGCCGCGGUAAUACAGAGGGUGCAAGCGUUAAUCGGAAUUACUGGGCGUAAAGCGCGCGUAG
RNAcentral lists this ribosomal RNA (518 nucleotides) under Pseudomonas sp. RNAcentral's name for it is "bacterial SSU rRNA". It matches the Rfam family "Bacterial small subunit ribosomal RNA", at positions 61 to 574 of the family's 1533-position model. Lineage: Bacteria; Pseudomonadati; Pseudomonadota; Gammaproteobacteria; Pseudomonadales; Pseudomonadaceae. The record is from RNAcentral.